Molecule: non-coding RNA, 53 nt
Filed under: Trichobilharzia regenti
Lineage: Eukaryota; Metazoa; Platyhelminthes; Trematoda; Strigeidida; Schistosomatidae
Source: RNAcentral
AUUUAGCUGAUGGACGAGUCCCAAAUAGGACGAAAUGGCCAUCCUGACUAGAU